CUAUGAACGCUUGGCUGCCAC
This 21-nucleotide non-coding RNA is filed under the name Arabidopsis thaliana (thale cress). Lineage: Eukaryota; Viridiplantae; Streptophyta; Magnoliopsida; Brassicales; Brassicaceae. The record is from RNAcentral.